RNAcentral lists this ribosomal RNA (559 nucleotides) under uncultured bacterium. RNAcentral describes it as "partial 16S ribosomal RNA". It matches the Rfam family "Bacterial small subunit ribosomal RNA", at positions 355 to 928 of the family's 1533-position model. The record is from RNAcentral.
UGGGGAAUAUUGCACAAUGGGCGAAAGCCUGAUGCAGCAACGCCGCGUGAGUGAUGAAGGCCUUCGGGUUGUAAAGCUCUGUCUUUUGGGACGAUAAUGACGGUACCAAAGGAGGAAGCCACGGCUAACUACGUGCCAGCAGCCGCGGUAAUACGUAGGUGGCAAGCGUUGUCCGGAUUUACUGGGCGUAAAGGAUGCGUAGGCGGAUUUUUAAGUGAGAUGUGAAAACCCUAAGCUUAACUUGGGGACUGCAUUUCAUACUGGAAAUCUAGAGUGCGGGAGAGGAGAAUGGAAUUCCUAGUGUAGCGGUGAAAUGCGUAGAGAUUAGGAAGAACACCAGUGGCGAAGGCGAUUCUCUGGACCGUAACUGACGCUGAGGCAUGAAAGCGUGGGUAGCAAACAGGAUUAGAUACCCUGGUAGUCCACGCCGUAAACGAUGAGUACUAGGUGUAGGAGGUAUCGACCCCCUUCUGUGCCGCAGUUAACACAAUAAGUACUCCGCCUGGGAAGUACGAUCGCAAGAUUAAAAACUCAAAGGAAUUGACGGGGGUCAUAGCUG